Molecule: ribosomal RNA, 491 nt
Filed under: uncultured bacterium
Lineage: Bacteria
Description: partial 16S ribosomal RNA
Rfam family: Bacterial small subunit ribosomal RNA
Source: RNAcentral
AGUGAACGCUGGCGGUAGGCCUAACACAUGCAAGUCGAACGGCAGCACAGUAAGAGCUUGCUCUUACGGGUGGCGAGUGGCGGACGGGCGAGGAAUACAUCGGAAUCUACUUUUUCGUGGGGGAUAACGUAGGGAAACUUACGCUAAUACCGCAUACGACCUACGGGUGAAAGCAGGGGAUCUUCGGACCUUGCGCGAUUGAAUGAGCCGAUGUCGGAUUAGCUAGUUGGCGGGGUAAAGGCCCACCAAGGCGACGAUCCGUAGCUGGUCUGAGAGGAUGAUCAGCCACACUGGAACUGAGACACGGUCCAGACUCCUACGGGAGGCAGCAGUGGGGAAUAUGGGACAAUGGGCGCAAGCCUGAUCCAGCCAUACCGCGUGGGUGAAGAAGGCCUUCGGGUUGUAAAGCCCUUUUGUUGGGAAAGAAAAGCAGCAGGUUAAUACCCCGCUGUUCUGACGGUACCCAAAGAAUAAGCACCGGCUAACUUCGU